RNAcentral lists this ribosomal RNA (440 nucleotides) under uncultured bacterium. Its description in RNAcentral is "partial 16S ribosomal RNA". It matches the Rfam family "Bacterial small subunit ribosomal RNA", at positions 338 to 795 of the family's 1533-position model. The record is from RNAcentral.
CCUACGGGAGGCUGCAGUGGGGAAUAUUGCACAAUGGGGGAAACCCUGAUGCAGCGACGCCGCGUGAGUGAAGAAGUAUUUCGGUAUGUAAAGCUCUAUCAGCAGGGAAGAAAAUGACGGUACCUGAUUAAGAAGCCCCGGCUAACUACGUGCCAGCAGCCGCGGUAAUACGUAGGGGGCAAGCGUUAUCCGGAUUUACUGGGUGUAAAGGGAGCGUAGGCGGCAGCACAAGUCUGGAGUGAAAUGCCGGGGCUUAACCCCGGAACUGCUUUGGAAACUGUGCAGCUGGAGUGCAGGAGAGGUAAGUGGAAUGCCUGGUGUAGCGGUGAAAUGCGUAGAUAUUAGGAAGAACACCAGUGGCGAAGGCGGCUUACUGGACUGUAACUGACGUUGAGGCUCGAAAGCGUGGGGAGCGAACAGGAUUAGAUACCCCAGUAGUC